This 738-nucleotide ribosomal RNA is filed under the name uncultured bacterium. Its description in RNAcentral is "bacterial SSU rRNA". It matches the Rfam family "Bacterial small subunit ribosomal RNA", at positions 505 to 1242 of the family's 1533-position model. The record is from RNAcentral.
GUGCCAACCGCCGCGGUAAUACGUAGGGGGCGAGCGUUGUCCGGAAUCAUUGGGCGUAAAGGGUGUGUAGGUGGCCGUGUAAGUCUUAUGUGAAAUUGCUGGGCUCAACCGAGCAACUGCAUUCGAAACUGGCAGGCUUGAGUCUCGUAGAGGGGGGUAGAAUUCCAGGUGUAGCGGUGAAAUGCGUAGAGAUCUGGAGGAAUACCGGUGGCGAAGGCGGCGCCCUGGACGAAGACUGACGCUCAGGUGCGAAAGCGUGGGGAGCAAACAGGAUUAGAUACCCUGGUAGUCCACGCCGUAAACGAUGUCUAUUUGGAGGUUGUGCCCUUGAGGCGUGGCUUCCGGAGCUAACGCGUUAAAUAGACCGCCUGGGGAGUACGGCCGCAAGGUUAAAACUCAAAUGAAUUGACGGGGGCCCGCACAAGCGGUGGAGCAUGUUGUUUAAUUCGAUGCAACGCGAAGAACCUUACCUGGUCUUGACAUCCACAGAAUUUCUCAGAGAUGAGGAAGUGCCUUCGGGAACUGUGAGACAGGUGCUGCAUGGCUGUCGUCAGCUCGUGUUGUGAAAUGUUGGGUUAAGUCCCGCAACGAGCGCAACCCUUAUCCUUUGUUGCCAGCGAUUCGGUCGGGAACUCAAAGGAGACUGCCAGUGAUAAACUGGAAGAAGGUGGGAAUGAACGUCAAGUCAUCAUGGCCCUUACGAGUUAGGCUACACACGUGCUACGAUGGCAUAUACAA